RNAcentral lists this ribosomal RNA (301 nucleotides) under uncultured bacterium. Its description in RNAcentral is "partial 16S ribosomal RNA". It matches the Rfam family "Bacterial small subunit ribosomal RNA", at positions 509 to 807 of the family's 1533-position model. The record is from RNAcentral.
CAGUAGCCGCGGGAAUACGAAGGGUGCAAGCGUUACUCGGAAUUACUGGGCGUAAAGCGUGCGUAGGUGGUGGUUUAAGUCCGUUGUGAAAGCCCUGGGCUCAACCCGGGAAUUGCAGUGGAUACUGGGUCACUAGAGUGUGGUAGAGGAUAGUGGAAUUUCCGGUGUAGCAGUGAAAUGCGUAGAGAUCGGAAGGAACAUCUGUGGCGAAGGCGACUAUCUGGGCCAACACUGACACUGAGGCACGAAAGCGUGGGGAGCAAACAGGAUUAGAUACCCGCGUAGUCCCUGUCUCUUAUAC